GUGUGUACAGUGCUAUAGGUGAGUGGUGAUUUGAUGUUUAUGUUUAGCUCGUCAUUAAGUGUGUCCAGUGCUAUAGUUGAGUGGUGAUUUGAUGUUUAUUUUGAGCUCGUCAUUCAGUGUGUCCAGUGCUAUAGGUGAGUGGUGAUUUGAUGUUUAUUUUGAGCUCGUCUUUCAGUGUGUCCAG
Dreissena polymorpha is the source of this 184-nucleotide long non-coding RNA. RefSeq lists it as uncharacterized. The transcript has 3 exons. Lineage: Eukaryota; Metazoa; Mollusca; Bivalvia; Myida; Dreissenidae. The record is from RefSeq and is a predicted model, not a curated record.